UGGUAAGAAAAAGGGGAAAAUUCCCUUGGAAAGAAACGAUAAAUUUAAGGCAACAAAAAACUGUCACGAAGAAAUGUGUCAGCGACUUGGGAAAGAAAAAAUAAAGUUGGAAAUGUUAACGACCCGGUUGACGACGUCUAUCGUCUUGAUCAAGUCAAGAAAAAUUUUGUCGAGUGUAAAAUAAUUGAAUUGUUUUGUGACGAUUCAUUUGUGUUUCUCUGUUGAAAAAGUAGCGUUGGUUGCUCAUCAUUUUCAUCAUUAAUGUGACUGACGACAUCAAACUUUGUUUGUGUUUAACGAAGUGUGUAGCCAGCAGAGAGAGAGGAGAGAAGAUGUGGGUCUUUUGCAGGUACUAACUAGGAGAAAACGUCCCAGAGACUGGGGGAUUGAGAAAAUGAGGCGGCGUCGACUGACCUGUUGACCUACUGAGACUUGAAAUAUCAAAAGGCAACCAGGAGAAGAGUAGUGGACAGACGGGAUUGUAGCCCCGGAUGUCUGCCUGCGCACUGCCCUAUGCUUGCCUUUAACUUACAUUUUAUAUCUCCCUCCUCUCUAUAUAUACCGUAUCUUCCUUGGUUUACGAAUUGUAGUAGAACAGCUACUUUAGUUUGUCUUUUUAUCUUGUUCUAACCCCCUAAAAAAAAGAAACUCGAGGUCUUCUGCGUCGUCGUGUCUUCUCUUUCCUUCCUUUCUCCCCCGUUUUUUUUCCCCUUUAUUUGGUUUCGUUUUGUUUUCUCGUAUUAUUAUUAUUCCCUCUCUUUUGAGACUCGUUUCUUCGAAGGUAAAGGUGAUUGGAGUUGUGUACGGUACGGCAUUCCCGGAAAUGAGCACACACACCGGUUCUUCUCGCGCUGCUAAUAGGAAAAAGAGCUAGGUCGAUAGGUACCAACAUAUAACUUUGUCAAUGUUUUAUUUUCGUGUUCAGAUAAAUUGUCGAAUCAUCUUUUCCUUCAUGUGAGAAAAACAAAUAAUAAAUCUUGGCCAGCCGAGAGAAAACCUGGUGGACCCGAUACCGAAUCAACAGCACAAGGUGUUGUAGACACACCAGGUAGAAGACAAAGAAAUCACCGCUACACACAAGAAGAGUUAAGCAGCGCGUGUAUUAUAUACAAAGCUCUUGGGUUGUGCGCCAGCGUGUUCCCCUUUUCUCUUCCAUCUCCUUUUUAUUCUCUCUCUAUCUCUCUCUCUCUCUCUCUUCAUUCUCCUUCUCGUAGUGUAGUGGUGGUUUUCUUUUUUUCCGAGUUUUUCGCCCAUCCAUUCGGGGGUCCGUCCUGUUGGUUGGCGUACGCGCCCCUUAAACUAUCUCGUCGACGAGUACCGCUCUGCCGACACUCAGUCCACGUUGAGCCGUGGGGCACUUCACAACUCCCCACAACCGCUCCUCUCUUCUCGUUUCCUUCCUCUCGACAACAAUGAUCCGCGGUGCGUGCGUUCCAGUCACCACCCGCCCCCUUUGUUUUGUAAACAAAAGGAAACACACACACACAAAAAAAAGCGACUUUUGACUCGAAUCAAACCUUUUCUCCAGAAAAAGUUCAAAACGUGUUGCGAUCUAUUGAAAGUUGCUCGGGUUUCUGAAGAACGUUUUGCCCAUCGCCUUUCUGGGUGCGUUCAGCCGAUUGAUUGCAAAUGGCUGGCUAAUAUGCUUCCCGAAAUUCAAGCUGGUGUUCGCGCCAGUAUAAUUUCACCCUCUGAAGAUGCCAAAGAAAAACUGCCCAAGCUCCGCACAGUUGUUAUCGAUCCCCACAACGAAUCCUACUCGAUGGAAAUCCGCCUAGAACCGACAGGAUCGCUUUCAAUGGAAGAUCUCAAACAAGCUUUCCAGCUGCUGGAUAUGGCAGUGGACAUAUCUGUGGCGGAUUGCAGUCACAAUACGGAGGACUUGGUGGGUCAAACCAGACGAAACGUCGGACAAAUCGAGCAACUUUCCGAAGUAUUUGGUCUUCUUUUCGCUUCCGGAUGCAUCUCUUAUACUUUCCGUAAGCGGAUCGUCAUUGAAUUGGCUGAUUUGGAAAAGGAGAUUGAUGGACUGAGUGCCAAGCUUGCAGAAUGGAAUCAACGGUGGAAGGAAAUCGAAGAAAUGUCUCUUUUAGCGCUCUUCUCUCGCGGUUACCUUCUCCAGUUGGCCGAUUUGAUUGGCCGGAACAGAAUAGCAGAUGUCCUCUCAAUCUUGAGAAUUCUACUGCCUUCGGCGACAGUAAAAAUGGAAACACUAGUCAAUCAACUGAUUCAAGAAGCCCCUCGCAUCAGCGACACAACGGGUUGGCUGUCAACCCGGCUCAGCUGUUUCAAAUUCUUCGCGAUCUACACCGACUUAUUGAAGCCGAGUUCCACGAGAGAAUUCACGAUCUCGCCCUCCCGGCAUUCCUCAUCUCUUACGGUCGAACGUUAAAGUCUCAUUUUAUCGACAAAUCAGUCGUCAUCUUAAACGUUUCCCGAGAACUACUAGUCGGAAGUGCCUUGGCCGCCUACAUCUUACUGACUCGCCAAUCAUUAGAGCCCAACCGAAUCCUUUUCGUGACGACAAACACGGACAAGCUGGAAGUCGAACGAUUCAUGAAACUUUGGUCUGUAGCUAAUGUUGAUGACGAUGACGAUGAUGAUGUGACUAUGUUGAUGACUCAGGCCGAUUUACACGCAUUGCUUAAGAGUACGUCAUUGAACUUGUGAUUCUCCUGAAGAACUUGCUAAAGGCGAAUACAUUUUGGCAAAGAUGAUCUACUCUGUAGAACCUUGGCAUCCGCCCAAUCCCGAUUUAAUCCGUCCGCUAUUCUCUAGAAAAAAGGUAAACAUAGCUUCGUUUCCUUUUCCACAGUAAGUUUGAAAAUUGGUUGAUAGGUGGCGUGGCGACUAGUUUAUGGUUGGUAUUGAAAUUUCUCUGAUUAUCGAUUAUCGCUAUGCCUUUAGUGUUUUAGGUGAUUCCAGGUUCUACUUUGGACAUUUAUUAUUUAAGUCCGAAUAGUCAUUAUUAAAUUAAAAAAACAUUUAGGUAAAUUUCUGUGUCUAACAAUUAUAACUUAUUUUAUUUAUUGGGUUCUACUGUCCAGUGCUGCAGUCCUAGUGACGGUAAUACUUGUUUAAGGUUCUACUGUCCUAUCUUACAAAUUAAUAGUAAAAAUUUAUUUUUCAUUUUUGUUUGCUUGCUGUCUUAAAAAAUAGGUUUUAAUUAAUUUGUUCCAGUGCGAAAACAAUUGAAAUUACGUCAUUCUGGCCGCCGUUCUACUGUCUUCUGGUAGCAGUGGCGAUAACCGUUUCAAACGCAUUUUUUUAUGUAUUGUAUUUUAGUGUCCAUUGUCCUGGUUAUGGUGACGGUAAUACUGACCCUAGGUAUACUGACUUUCACUUCACAAUUAAAUA
This 3357-nucleotide unclassified non-coding RNA is filed under the name Daphnia pulicaria. Its description in RNAcentral is "uncharacterized LOC124311838, transcript variant X1". The record is from RNAcentral. Lineage: Eukaryota; Metazoa; Arthropoda; Branchiopoda; Diplostraca; Daphniidae.